ACUCCCGCAUGCCCCGCAUCCAUCACACGCCCGCCUGCUGCCGCUGGGUCGCAGACGGGCAGGGAGGCCGGCUCAGUGGGGGCAGCCGCGCUCUCCUGCCCCCCGACCUGCCCCUCUCUGGGGGCGUCUGGGUUCAGCCGCCCAGCAGACGCAAGGUGGGCUCACAUCUCUGUCCCAGCUUUCAGCCAAGCUUCCGGAGGGUCCCAUUUGGACGAGGUGAGGAGGCCCCCACCCAGAAAGCCCAGGUCUUUGGUCAGAGAAGGUGCGCGAGGGUUUAAGUUCAGCGGGGCCGACACCCAGUGCCCUUCCUGUCUUAACCCCCCUCCUCCCCGCCCGAUGCAGCAAACGUUUCUUGGGAAAAAGGCCCAGGCUGGGUGACGCCAGGAGGGGCUCUAGAGCUGGAGCCUGGAGAGGGGGCCACGGGUGCAUCCAGGUGGCAUCCAGGUGAGGCCGGGGUUCCGGGCAGACACUCCGCCCCUGCCCCUCCGCCCGGGGUAGUGUCUUGCCCCCUGGCAGGUCCCAGACCUGAGAGGCGGUGUCUGGGACCGGGGCCACCAGGACCGAACGUGUCCCGGGCUGGCCCAGCACAGUCUGGGGUCCAAGAGCCCCAGGGGCAGGGAGAGGGCUUCCCCAGCACGGCGGGGAGUGGAUCCGGAGCCGCACCUCCACACGCAGGAGAGACAAGCUGGGGACCCCGAGGCUCCGGUCAGGGCAGGACUUAACUCUGAGCCCUGACCGUGGGAGAGGCAGUGGUGAAGCCAGGAUGGGAAGGAGUUCCCUCCACCGCGAGCCCCGUGGUCGGCAGGUGAGCUGAGCCCAGUCCACAGGGGGCGGGCCCAUGCCCGUGCCCUCACACACGUCUCUCCACCACCCCCGACAUGCAGGCACCCCUGUCACAGGCUGUCCGGGACCCCACAGCAGCCCCCAGCCUCCAUGGCCCCGGGCCCAUGGCUCUGACUCCAGGACCCCAGUGUCUGACCUGGGCAGGCUCAGGUUUCUUACAAUGCACACAGAUUUGUUUGCUUAUCAGGAAAAGAAACAAAAGACAAACGUGAAGAAAUCCUGGGGAGGAAUGAAGGUGGGAACUGUCCUCUGUGAGCGACCUCCGAUCUCGAAACCUGAGCCAGCUAACCCGUCACUGGUGCGAGGGGCUGAGCAGCCACCUGCCCUGCCACCCACCAGCCUCCCUGCUGGCCCUGGAGGAGGUGGGCUCUGGACCAGCCUGGUCAACCCCCGAGGCUGGCACGCGGUUGGGCACUCUCCCUUGGAACGGACACCAAGCAGCGACAGUUCCCGGGUGUGAGUUAGCUCUCGGGGGAUGCCCGCCAGCCAGUUGACUUGGAGCCUCAAGAUGUGGGGUUUUGGCCCCACUCACCCCCCAACACACCUCCGGGCCUCAAUGUCCCCUUCUUUAAAUGGAGAAGGCUGGUCUCGGUGACCUGGAAGAUACCUGCCGGUCCCACAUGAAAUCCUGUGACCCUAAGGAAGGUGGGCGGGCAGGGAGAUACCCCUGGUUGCCCCAGGAAGUCAUACCUGAGUGGCUUUUAGAUCAUAGGGGUCAACCUUUCUGUCCCCUUUGAAGUAUUUAUCGAGCUCGUGUUUGCGGAGGGCUGACCGCGGGCCAGGAGUUGUCCACGCACUUCUCAGCACUGUCUCACUUAAUGUUCCACAGACCUACCGGGCCCUUGUAUUGUCUCCAGUUUAUAGCUGUGGGAACCCAGGCACAGAGAGGUUAGGCUGUCUGCUUGAGGUCACACAGCUGUCAGCACGCUCCUGCCUGAUCUCCAACCCGGGGCUCCCAGGGAGCUGCAAAGUGCUCCUUUAAGCUUUGGGGCGGGGGGGGUCUCACUGUCAGGAACCGGGGCAGCCUAUCUUAACAUGCAGGCCAGAAGACCUCCCAGAAUCUCAUGAGCCCACCAAGGCCUCCCACAAAACUCCGUGGACACCCAAAACCUAAUGAUAUUUGUAGAAAUCCUUUCCAAAGCAGCUGUUCAAAUAAGGCGCCUCGUUAGUCAAGAAGCUGGCGUGGUCGGGGAACACACAACAGCUGGGUUCUUUUUCCUUCUUGCUCAAAUCGGGGUAUUAUUUUUCAAAGCAGACCGGCAGUUCGAGUCCUUGACGGGAAGCUCCACCCCGCCCCUCCAUUGGGCACCUAAUCCUCUAAUGCCCUUUAUCAAGCGCCCAGUCGUUUAAAGUGUUAUUAAAUGCCGUUUUUUUGGAUUAUAAUUUUUACUCUUGAUUAUUUGAUGACUAUAUAAUCAAAUAUUCAUUGGAUAAUGAUGAUUAAAAUAUAUAAUCCCCCA
This 2303-nucleotide long non-coding RNA is filed under the name Bos indicus x Bos taurus (hybrid cattle). RNAcentral describes it as "lncRNA (ENSBIXG00000007327.1)". The record is from RNAcentral. Lineage: Eukaryota; Metazoa; Chordata; Mammalia; Artiodactyla; Bovidae.